GCAAGUAUAGUUUAACCCAAACAUUAGACUGUGACUCUAAAAAUAGAAGUUAGACCCUUCUUACCUGCC
This 69-nucleotide transfer RNA is filed under the name Dryobates pubescens (Downy woodpecker). RNAcentral describes it as "tRNA-His". It matches the Rfam family "tRNA". Rfam says of the family: Transfer RNA (tRNA) molecules are approximately 80 nucleotides in length. Their secondary structure includes four short double-helical elements and three loops (D, anti-codon, and T loops). Lineage: Eukaryota; Metazoa; Chordata; Aves; Piciformes; Picidae. RNAcentral also lists the same sequence under 2 other names. The record is from RNAcentral.